GAGUUUGAUCAUGGCUCAGAUUGAACGCUGGCGGCAUGCUUUACACAUGCAAGUCGAACGGUAACGCGGGGGCAACCCUGGCGACGAGUGGCGAACGGGUGAGUAAUACAUCGGAACGUGUCCUGGAGUGGGGGAUAGCUCGGCGAAAGCCGGAUUAAUACCGCAUACGCUCUGAGGAGGAAAGCGGGGGACCUUCGGGCCUCGCGCUGCGGGAGCGGCCGAUGUCGGAUUAGCUAGUUGGUGGGGUAAAGGCCUACCAAGGCGACGAUCCGUAGCUGGUCUGAGAGGAUGAUCAGCCACACUGGGACUGAGACACGGCCCAGACUCCUACGGGAGGCAGCAGUGGGGAAUUUUGGACAAUGGGGGCAACCCUGAUCCAGCCAUGCCGCGUGAGUGAAGAAGGCC
Molecule: ribosomal RNA, 405 nt
Filed under: uncultured beta proteobacterium
Lineage: Bacteria; Pseudomonadati; Pseudomonadota; Betaproteobacteria
Description: bacterial SSU rRNA
Rfam family: Bacterial small subunit ribosomal RNA
Source: RNAcentral